UGCCAGCAGCCGCGGUAAUACGGAGGGUGCAAGCGUUAAUCGGAAUUACUGGGUUUAAAGGGUGUGUAGGCGGAUAUUUAAGUCAGAGGUGAAAUCUCCGAGCUCAACUCGGAAACUGCCUUUGAUACUAUUUAUCUUGAAUUUCGUUGAGGUUGGCGGAAUAUAUCAUGUAGCGGUGAAAUGCAUAGAUAUGAUAUAGAACACCGAUUGCGAAGGCAGCUGGCUGAACGAACAUUGACGCUGAGGCACGAAAGCGUGGGUAGCGAACAGGAUUAGAUA
RNAcentral lists this ribosomal RNA (279 nucleotides) under uncultured bacterium. RNAcentral describes it as "partial 16S ribosomal RNA". It matches the Rfam family "Bacterial small subunit ribosomal RNA", at positions 506 to 784 of the family's 1533-position model. The record is from RNAcentral.